CUCUUUACGGGUAAAACCAUCUCUCUCCUCAUUUUCCCCCUUUUCAAACCCUCCAAACUAACAACACCAUUUUCCGACGAAAUCUUGAAUUUUGAAGCACCAUGUCACCGGUAAGCUUUACCUUCGAUGCUUUCUUUCAUUCCGACCGAUUGUCCAUAUUUGACCAUUUGACAAAGCCAUCGCCGUCUCAACAGUUCAGCCAUUAUUAAACAACAAAGACCCACCUCAAGCGUCCAUCAAAUCAUACUUCACACAUGGUAUUACGACUCGGAAGGAAAAUAUGUGGUUUAAUUAGUUAUUUAUUUGUGGUAUUAUGUCAGUUGAAGUGCUAUUGUGAAUUGUUCGUUCUUCAGUAUCUUUUUUUUUUUUCAUUUUAUUCAUGCAUUAGCCUAUCUCUUAAUUUUUCAGGAACAUAAAUGCUUGCAUACGCUGCUGCAAAUUUUGUCCUAUCCAUCUGUGGAACUUUAGUAUUGUUAUCUUAUUUUGAGUAGUUGUUGAGUGGAAUUUGAGGAGAAUUGUUUCCCUUAUUUCAGUUGAAUGGAAUUGGGUAAAUAGCACGAAACAUAUCUAUCUUUCAAUAUUAUUGCGCAAAACGUUCAUACCUUUAAUUUUUUUAGCAUUUUCACCUCUGUUUCCAUAUUUCAUUAUGCAAAAGGUCACUUUCAUCAAUUUUUUAGUAAAAAUACGAUUUUACCCUCAUAUUCAAAUAAAAUAAAUGAAAAUAAAAGAACUAAUGGCAACAAUAAUCCCAAAUUUUCAAAAAAAAAUACAAAUUAAUCACAAAUAUAUAAUUAAAAAUCAAAACUGAAACAACAAAUCAUUCAUCUUCUUUCUCCUCACAUAGUGACUUCAUCGAUGGCUAAAAAAUCCCUUUAGCCCUGGCCAAGACAGACUAUGAUUUUGCCAAUGGCAAAAAAAUCAGUAAGUUAAAAAUAAAGGGAAACCAAAUAUACAAUUCAAGGUAACACAUGGACACAUAAAGAAAUCAAAGAAAAAAGUACUUUUGUCUUGAGUAAUUUCACCAAUAAGACGUUUUUCUAUUUUAAAAAUUCAUAAAUCACACAUAAUAAUUAUUAAAGAAAAACUCAAAUCAAAAGCUAAUAGAUAUGAUGUAUGCAGAAAAUGCAAAACAAAUUACCUUAACAAGUUGGUUAAUGUUAGCUUUGCCAGAAGCAGAAUCUGAGGGCAACUUCUCCACAAUCGCAAGAGACUUUGGAUUUGGCAAAGAAUUAGUAAUAUUUGAAAGCCUCCUUCUCACCAUGUUUCGAAAAGAGGAUUUGUUUCACCAUUUUAUUUCCUUUUCAUAAUCAUCCUUCAAGAUCCCCUUCGAAAAAUAACCUCAAAAUUCAAGAUAUCAAGUGGAAUUUUCAAGAAAUAAACACUAAAUUCAAACCCAAGAAUUAUCCUGAAAUGAAAUUACACCAAAGGGACAUAUGGAUGUUUAAUUCUACAAAAUGGGUUUAUGUAUCUGUUAUUAAUUACAAAAAAAAUAAUAAUUUAUUGGAAAAAUGGAUGAAAAUGAUCUUUUGCACAAUGAAAGGUGGAAAUGAGAAUGAAAUACCAAAAAAAUGAAAGGUAGGGACGUUUUACACAAUAACAUUGAAAGGCAAGGAUGUUUUGUGCUAUUUAUCCAAUGUAAUUUGAGGAGAAUUGUUUCUUGCAUUUUGAGUUGCCGUUGAAUGGAAUUUGAGGAGUAUUGUUUUUUAAUUGUAUUUUAAUUGUUGGCAUUGUGAAUGGAGUGGCUAAUGUUGUCGUGUUUUUCUUUUUUCUUUUUUCCAUAUCAUUUGUUUAUUUUGAAAUGAGUGCUUGAAAGUGGUAUGCUUUGGUUAUUUGCAGCAGAAAGGUUCUUUGAUUUUCAUUUCUUAUGGUAUGCUCAUUCAUAAUUUUCUAUGUGAUUGUGUUCUCAAAAUGGUGGGUAAGAAUUUUGGAAUAUGUCAUCGGUGUAGGAGCAGGGGAUGCUUCUUCGUUGAUGUCUACAGUGUACCAACAGUUUUUAGAAGUUAUUUGUGGUUGAAAAAGAAUUUGUUAACAAAGGCAAAUUUUUCAAAUGUUGCAGUAUUAAGUGCGGAUUUUGGGAAUGGUGCGAAAAAGGCGAAGCAAGUGGUGAAUCAAGUAACGUUAGCAUUACCAAGGUUGAAGAAGUAAUGAAUGAAACAUCUGAUGAUAUGGCCCUGCAUGUUCCAAUCUCAAGUUCAACUGAACGACAAAGAAGAAAUACAUAUUUCUGUAAAUGUGACGAUCUACAAGGGAAAAAGCACAGCGAACGCAAACGCAAAAGGGAAAUGGUCGGCUUGAGCAGUGGUUAAUGUUUGAUUAGCUUUAAGGGGGUUUUGUGUAUGUGUUAAGUGAAGGAACGACUUUCGUUUUGUAUAACAAUUUGCAACUCCAUGCAAG
This 2394-nucleotide long non-coding RNA is filed under the name Olea europaea subsp. europaea. The record is from RNAcentral. Lineage: Eukaryota; Viridiplantae; Streptophyta; Magnoliopsida; Lamiales; Oleaceae.